RNAcentral lists this long non-coding RNA (285 nucleotides) under Homo sapiens (human). RNAcentral's name for it is "HSALNT0249641". The record is from RNAcentral. Lineage: Eukaryota; Metazoa; Chordata; Mammalia; Primates; Hominidae.
AGUAUGAUACUUACAGUUUGCUGGGGUAGAUGGGGGUGCUCUUCACUGGAAUGAAGAUGAUGAGUUUCACUUUGGACCAGGAGAUAUCCACAUGUUCACAUUUCUUCUUCUACUAGAAGCAUUUGUAUAAGCCUUUGUUUAGUACCAGUCACUCUUUUACUUUCCAAUUGUUCUAAGGCUGAUGUAGAUGUCAUAGUUGAUCUUCGGCAUAAAACAACAAGAAGCACUGGAAAUCCAUGGAUCAUUCACAUGGCUUGGACAAACACAGUAUAAACUUCAACUUAA